UGCCAGUUAUUGAGCUGUCGCAGGCCCAGCCUGAGAGUUGCAGGUGAGUUAUGUCAAACCAGCAGAUCGCACAGCUUUGCUGGCGAUGGGCUGCUCGAGUUUCUGACCUAUCAGCUUCCGACGCUAGAGUCUUGGCCUACCGUGGCAAUGACGGGUGACGGAGAAUUAGGGUUUGAUUCCGGAGAGGGAGCCUGACAAAUGGCUACCACAUCUAAGGAAGGCAGCAGGCGCGCAAAUUACCCAAUUUUGACAAAAGGAGGUAGUGACAAGAAAUAACAAUAUGGGGCAUCCAUGUCCUGUAAUUGGAAUGAGCAUAACCCAAACCAUUGUGUGAGUAUCCAUUGGAGGGCAAGUCUGGUGCCAGCAGCCGCGGUAAUUCCAGCUCCAAUAGCAUAUAUUAAAGCUGCUGCGGUUAAAAAGCUCGUAGUUGGGCUUCUGUCGAGAGCAUCCAGUCCGACUUCUGGGUGUGCACUUGGACUGCUUUCGGCAUCUUCAUGGUAAGCGCGAUUGCACUUGAUUGUGUGGCGCGACUUCCAUGUCAGUUACUUUGAGGAAAUUGGAGUGUUUGCAGCAGGC
This 576-nucleotide ribosomal RNA is filed under the name uncultured eukaryote. Its description in RNAcentral is "bacterial SSU rRNA". It matches the Rfam family "Eukaryotic small subunit ribosomal RNA", at positions 208 to 785 of the family's 1831-position model. The record is from RNAcentral.